Molecule: long non-coding RNA, 584 nt
Filed under: Hordeum vulgare
Lineage: Eukaryota; Viridiplantae; Streptophyta; Magnoliopsida; Poales; Poaceae
Description: long non-coding RNA (HVUL_LNC007358)
Source: RNAcentral
GCACGGUUGCAGGUGGUGCAGCAAGUGCCAGCAGUGUCAGCAAUGAGGAGCUGCAGGUUGCCACUGCGCGGGUGACACUGGAAACAGGGCAGGUGGGCGCGGCGUCUACUGCACAACACGUGCAAAACGCGCUCUUGGCGUGUUCCGCGUGUGCACAGCAGGUGUUCGACCGAAUGCCACUACAGGCUAGAGAGUUUGGUUUGAGGUGUAAAUUAACAGGAUGGCUAAGCUGGUUACUCAAGCUCUGAUGGACAUGCUGGUUUCGCAGGGAAAGGAUUUCCACAAUGCAUUUUAAAAGUAUGCCAGUUCAGGUCAUGCACCUAGAAUGUUUGGUAAAAUUCCACGGGCCUCUAGGUAUUCUUGUUAGCCACCAAAUUUUCCAGGUUGAGGUCUCCUUGAAAGCUAACAAAGAUCGCAAGGUUAAUUUUGGCAAAACAGAAACUUCCUGGUGUAAUUUUUGCAAAAGUGCAUUCCUCGACAGAAACAAAAUGAUGUUAUAACAUAGUCUCAAACAAUGCCACUCGGCUGAAAUUCUAGACUUAAGGGUUUUGCAGGGUCCUUUGUAAGAAGUAAAAAAAUUAAAA